GAUGAACGCUGGCGGCGUGCCUAAUACAUGCAAGUCGAGCGAACAGAUAAGGAGCUUGCUCCUUUGAAGUUAGCGGCGGACGGGUGAGUAACACGUGAGUAACCUACCUAUAAGACUGGGAUAACUUCGGGAAACCGGAGCUAAUACCGGAUAACAUUUAGAACCGCAUGGCUCUAAAGUGAAAGAUGGUUUUGCUAUCACUUAUAGAUGGACCCGCGCCGUAUUAGCUAGUUGGUAAGGUAACGGCUUACCAAGGCGACGAUACGUAGCCGACCUGAGAGGGUGAUCGGCCACACCGGAACUGAGACACGGUCCAGACUCCUACGGGAGGCAGCAGUAGGGAAUCUUCCGCAAUGGGCGAAAGCCUGACGGAGCAACGCCGCGUGAGUGAUGAAGGGUUUCGGCUCGUAAAACUCUGUUAUUAGGGAAGAACAAAUGUGUAAGUAACUGUGCACAUCUUGACGGUACCUAAUCAGAAAGCCACGGCUAACUACGUGCCAGCAGCCGCGGUAAUACGUAGGUGGCAAGCGUUAUCCGGAAUUAUUGGGCGUAAAGCGCGCGUAGGCGGUUUCUUAAGUCUGAUGUGAAAGCCCACGGCUCAACCGUGGAGGGUCAUUGGAAACUGGGAAACUUGAGUGCAGAAGAGGAAAGUGGAAUUCCAUGUGUAGCGGUGAAAUGCGCAGAGAUAUGGAGGAACACCAGUGGCGAAGGCGACUUUCUGGUCUGUAACUGACGCUGAUGUGCGAAAGCGUGGGGAUCAAACAGGAUUAGAUACCCUGGUAGUCCACGCCGUAAACGAUGAGUGCUAAGUGUUAGGGGGUUUCCGCCCCUUAGUGCUGCAGCUAACGCAUUAAGCACUCCGCCUGGGGAGUACGACCGCAAGGUUGAAACUCAAAGGAAUUGACGGGGACCCGCACAAGCGGUGGAGCAUGUGGUUUAAUUCGAAGCAACGCGAAGAACCUUACCAAAUCUUGACAUCCUUUGAAAACUCUAGAGAUAGAGCCUUCCCCUUCGGGGGACAAAGUGACAGGUGGUGCAUGGUUGUCGUCAGCUCGUGUCGUGAGAUGUUGGGUUAAGUCCCGCAACGAGCGCAACCCUUAAGCUUAGUUGCCAUCAUUAAGUUGGGCACUCUAGGUUGACUGCCGGUGACAAACCGGAGGAAGGUGGGGAUGACGUCAAAUCAUCAUGCCCCUUAUGAUUUGGGCUACACACGUGCUACAAUGGACAAUACAAAGGGCAGCUAAACCGCGAGGUCAUGCAAAUCCCAUAAAGUUGUUCUCAGUUCGGAUUGUAGUCUGCAACUCGACUACAUGAAGCUGGAAUCGCUAGUAAUCGUAGAUCAGCAUGCUACGGUGAAUACGUUCCCGGGUCU
This 1372-nucleotide ribosomal RNA is filed under the name uncultured bacterium. Its description in RNAcentral is "bacterial SSU rRNA". It matches the Rfam family "Bacterial small subunit ribosomal RNA", at positions 28 to 1381 of the family's 1533-position model. The record is from RNAcentral.